Molecule: ribosomal RNA, 1348 nt
Filed under: Vibrio sp.
Lineage: Bacteria; Pseudomonadati; Pseudomonadota; Gammaproteobacteria; Vibrionales; Vibrionaceae
Description: bacterial SSU rRNA
Rfam family: Bacterial small subunit ribosomal RNA
Source: RNAcentral
GGCGUCGAGCGGCGGACGGGUGAGUAAUGCCUAGGAAAUUGCCCUGAUGUGGGGGAUAACCAUUGGAAACGAUGGCUAAUACCGCAUGAUGCCUACGGGCCAAAGAGGGGGACCUUCGGGCCUCUCGCGUCAGGAUAUGCCUAGGUGGGAUUAGCUAGUUGGUGAGGUAAGGGCUCACCAAGGCGACGAUCCCUAGCUGGUCUGAGAGGAUGAUCAGCCACACUGGAACUGAGACACGGUCCAGACUCCUACGGGAGGCAGCAGUGGGGAAUAUUGCACAAUGGGCGCAAGCCUGAUGCAGCCAUGCCGCGUGUGUGAAGAAGGCCUUCGGGUUGUAAAGCACUUUCAGUCGUGAGGAAGGUGGUGUAGUUAAUAGCUGCAUUAUUUGACGUUAGCGACAGAAGAAGCACCGGCUAACUCCGUGCCAGCAGCCGCGGUAAUACGGAGGGUGCGAGCGUUAAUCGGAAUUACUGGGCGUAAAGCGCAUGCAGGUGGUUUGUUAAGUCAGAUGUGAAAGCCCGGGGCUCAACCUCGGAAUAGCAUUUGAAACUGGCAGACUAGAGUACUGUAGAGGGGGGUAGAAUUUCAGGUGUAGCGGUGAAAUGCGUAGAGAUCUGAAGGAAUACCGGUGGCGAAGGCGGCCCCCUGGACAGAUACUGACACUCAGAUGCGAAAGCGUGGGGAGCAAACAGGAUUAGAUACCCUGGUAGUCCACGCCGUAAACGAUGUCUACUUGGAGGUUGUGGCCUUGAGCCGUGGCUUUCGGAGCUAACGCGUUAAGUAGACCGCCUGGGGAGUACGGUCGCAAGAUUAAAACUCAAAUGAAUUGACGGGGGCCCGCACAAGCGGUGGAGCAUGUGGUUUAAUUCGAUGCAACGCGAAGAACCUUACCUACUCUUGACAUCCAGAGAACUUUCCAGAGAUGGAUUGGUGCCUUCGGGAACUCUGAGACAGGUGCUGCAUGGCUGUCGUCAGCUCGUGUUGUGAAAUGUUGGGUUAAGUCCCGCAACGAGCGCAACCCUUAUCCUUGUUUGCCAGCGAGUAAUGUCGGGAACUCCAGGGAGACUGCCGGUGAUAAACCGGAGGAAGGUGGGGACGACGUCAAGUCAUCAUGGCCCUUACGAGUAGGGCUACACACGUGCUACAAUGGCGCAUACAGAGGGCGGCCAACUUGCGAAAGUGAGCGAAUCCCAAAAAGUGCGUCGUAGUCCGGAUUGGAGUCUGCAACUCGACUCCAUGAAGUCGGAAUCGCUAGUAAUCGUGGAUCAGAAUGCCACGGUGAAUACGUUCCCGGGCCUUGUACACACCGCCCGUCACACCAUGGGAGUGGGCUGCAAAAGAAGUAGGU